Molecule: ribosomal RNA, 279 nt
Filed under: uncultured bacterium
Lineage: Bacteria
Description: partial 16S ribosomal RNA
Rfam family: Bacterial small subunit ribosomal RNA
Source: RNAcentral
UGCCAGCCGCCGCGGUAAUACAGAGGGCUCGAGCGUUAAUCGGAAUCACUGGGCUUAAAGGGUGUGUAGGCGGAUCUGUAAGUAUCUUGUGAAAUCCCACCGCUCAACGGUGGAAUUGCUCGGUAAACUGCAGAUCUUGAAGUCGGUAGAGGCUGUCGGAACUCUAGGUGGAGCGGUGAAAUGCGUAGAUAUCUAGAGGAACGCCAAUGGGGAAGCCAGGCAGCUGGGCCGGUCUUGACGCUGAGGCACGAAAGCAUGGGUAGCGAACGGGAUUAGAUA